UACAGAGGUCCCAAGCGUUGUUCGGAUUCACUGGGCGUAAAGGGUGCGUAGGCGGUCGGGUAAGUCUGAUGUGAAAUCUCACAGCUUAACUGUGAAACUGCAUUGGAUACUAUCCGGCUAGAGGAAUGGAGGGGAGACUGGAAUACUUGGUGUAGCAGUGAAAUGCGUAGAUAUCAAGUGGAACACCAGUGGCGAAGGCGAGUCUCUGGGCAUUUCCUGACGCUGAGGCACGAAAGCCAGGGGAGCAAACGAG
RNAcentral lists this ribosomal RNA (253 nucleotides) under uncultured bacterium. RNAcentral's name for it is "partial 16S ribosomal RNA". It matches the Rfam family "Bacterial small subunit ribosomal RNA", at positions 524 to 776 of the family's 1533-position model. The record is from RNAcentral.